This 72-nucleotide transfer RNA is filed under the name Candidatus Parcubacteria bacterium 4484_255. RNAcentral's name for it is "tRNA-Gly". It matches the Rfam family "tRNA". From Rfam's summary of the family: Transfer RNA (tRNA) molecules are approximately 80 nucleotides in length. Their secondary structure includes four short double-helical elements and three loops (D, anti-codon, and T loops). The record is from RNAcentral. Lineage: Bacteria; Candidatus Parcubacteria.
GCGGGAGUGGUGUAACGGCAACACGCUUCUUUGCCAUAGAAGAAAGUGCGGGUUCAAAUCCCGUCUCCCGCU